This is a non-coding RNA of Rhodocollybia butyracea, 110 nucleotides long. The record is from the annotation of a GenBank genome assembly. NCBI's taxonomy places the organism in Eukaryota, Fungi, Basidiomycota, Agaricomycetes, Agaricales, Omphalotaceae.
UCCGAUAUGGUGUAGUGGCUAACAUUAUCGCCUCUCAUAAUCCAUGUUGCCUGUGUCUGCGACUGUAUGAGUAUUGCGCGAUAGCCCGGGUUCGAUUCCCCGUGUCGGAA